Molecule: signal recognition particle RNA, 98 nt
Filed under: Frederiksenia canicola
Lineage: Bacteria; Pseudomonadati; Pseudomonadota; Gammaproteobacteria; Pasteurellales; Pasteurellaceae
Description: signal recognition particle sRNA small type
Rfam family: Bacterial small signal recognition particle RNA
About the family: The signal recognition particle (SRP) is a universally conserved ribonucleoprotein involved in the co-translational targeting of proteins to membranes.
Source: RNAcentral
UUUUUGGUCUCUCGCAAUGGAAUUCAGUUUACUUGGUCAGGUUCGGAAGAAAGCAGCCAGAAUUGAAAGCUCCGUGUGCCGAGAAGUGCUGGGAACGC